Molecule: ribosomal RNA, 270 nt
Filed under: uncultured bacterium
Lineage: Bacteria
Description: partial 16S ribosomal RNA
Rfam family: Bacterial small subunit ribosomal RNA
Source: RNAcentral
CGGGUAGAGUAACACGUAAACAACCUGCCUUCAGGAUGGGGACAACAGACGGAAACGACUGCUAAUACCGAAUAAGUUCCAAGAGCCGCAUGGCCCAUGGAAGAAAAGGUGGCCUCUACCUGUAAGCUAUCGCCUGAAGAGGGGUUUGCGUCUGAUUAGCUGGUUGGAGGGGUAACGGCCCACCAAGGCGACGAUCAGUAGCCGGUCUGAGAGGAUGAACGGCCACACUGGAACUGAGACACGGUCCAAACUCCUACGGGAGGCAGCAUG